RNAcentral lists this ribosomal RNA (781 nucleotides) under Gelatoporia subvermispora. RNAcentral describes it as "eukaryotic LSU rRNA". It matches the Rfam family "Eukaryotic large subunit ribosomal RNA", at positions 73 to 840 of the family's 3401-position model. Lineage: Eukaryota; Fungi; Basidiomycota; Agaricomycetes; Polyporales; Gelatoporiaceae. The record is from RNAcentral.
GAUUCCCCUAGUAACUGCGAGUGAAGCGGGAAAAGCUCAAAUUUAAAAUCUGGCGGUCUUUGGCCGUCCGAGUUGUAGUCUGGAGAAGUGCUUUCCGCGCUGGACCGUGUACAAGUCUCCUGGAACGGAGCGUCAUAGAGGGUGAGAAUCCCGUCUUUGACACGGACUACCAGUGCUCUGUGAUGCGCUCUCAAAGAGUCGAGUUGUUUGGGAAUGCAGCUCAAAAUGGGUGGUGAAUUCCAUCUAAAGCUAAAUAUUGGCGAGAGACCGAUAGCGAACAAGUACCGUGAGGGAAAGAUGAAAAGCACUUUGGAAAGAGAGUUAAACAGUACGUGAAAUUGCUGAAAGGGAAACGCUUGAAGUCAGUCGCGUCGGCCGGAACUCAGCCUUGCUUUUGCUUGGUGUACUUUCCGGUCGACGGGCCAGCAUCGAUUUCGAUCGUCGGAAAAAGGCAGAGGGAAUGUGGCACCUUCGGGUGUGUUAUAGCCCUCUGUUGCAUACGACGGUUGGGAUCGAGGUUCGCAGCACGCCUUUAUGGUCGGGGUUCGCCCACGUUCGUGCUUAGGAUGCUGGCGUAAUGGCUUUAAACGACCCGUCUUGAAACACGGACCAAGGAGUCUAACAUGCCUGCGAGUGUUUGGGUGGAAAACCCGAGCGCGUAAUGAAAGUGAAGGUCGGGACCUCUGUCAUGGAGGGCACCGACGCCCGGACCUGAAGUUCUCUGACGGCUCCGCGGUAGAGCAUGUAUGUUGGGACCCGAAAGAUGGUGAACUAUGCCUGA